This 272-nucleotide ribosomal RNA is filed under the name Acaulospora tuberculata. RNAcentral's name for it is "partial 28S ribosomal RNA". Lineage: Eukaryota; Fungi; Glomeromycota; Glomeromycetes; Diversisporales; Acaulosporaceae. The record is from RNAcentral.
GCGGUAGCAAUCUUUCUUGUGCACUUCUUUGUUUGGCAGGUUAGCAUCAAUUUCGGUUGUCAUCAAAAAAUUGAGGGAAUGUGACUUCUUUCGGGAAGUGUUAUAGACCUUGAUAUAUGUGGUGAUCGGGAUUGAGGAUUGCAGCGGAUGCUUUUGGGCUAGUCACCUACCUUCUGACGGUUACCCCGCUUUCGAUAGCUUGCUAACGACUGUGGGAUUUAACAGUCUAGAUGUUGGAGUGAUCUUAUAUUCGUUAAGGAUGUUGACGUAAA